Molecule: ribosomal RNA, 506 nt
Filed under: uncultured Eubacteriales bacterium
Lineage: Bacteria; Bacillati; Bacillota; Clostridia; Eubacteriales
Description: bacterial SSU rRNA
Rfam family: Bacterial small subunit ribosomal RNA
Source: RNAcentral
GGGGGAAACCCUGAUGCAGCAACGCCGCGUGAAUGAUGAAGGCCUUCGGGUCGUAAAGUUCUUUGAUUGGGGACGAUAAUGACGGUACCCAAAAAACAAGCCACGGCUAACUACGUGCCAGCAGCCGCGGUAAUACGUAGGUGGCGAGCGUUGUCCGGAUUUACUGGGCGUAAAGGAUGCGUAGGUGGAAAUUUAAGUGGGAUGUGAAAUCCCCGGGCUCAACCCGGGAACUGCAUUCCAAACUGGGUUUCUUGAGUGCAGGAGAGGAAAGCGGAAUUCCUAGUGUAGCGGUGAAAUGCGUAGAUAUUAGGAAGAACACCAGUGGCGAAGGCGGCUUUCUGGACUGUAACUGACACUGAGGCAUGAAAGCGUGGGGAGCAAACAGGAUUAGAUACCCUGGUAGUCCACGCCGUAAACGAUGGGUACUAGGUGUAGGGGGUAUCAACUCCCCCUGUGCCGUCGUUAACACAAUAAGUACCCCGCCUGGGGAGUACGGUCGCAAGAUU